This 514-nucleotide ribosomal RNA is filed under the name uncultured bacterium. Its description in RNAcentral is "bacterial SSU rRNA". It matches the Rfam family "Bacterial small subunit ribosomal RNA", at positions 338 to 838 of the family's 1533-position model. The record is from RNAcentral.
CCUACGGGAGGCAGCAGUGGGGAAUUUUGGACAAUGGGCGCAAGCCUGAUCCAGCCAUGCCGCGUGUGGGAAGAAGGCCUUCGGGUUGUAAACCACUUUUGUCAGGGAAGAAACGGCUUUUUCUAAUACAGAGAGCUAAUGACGGUACCUGAAGAAUAAGCACCGGCUAACUACGUGCCAGCAGCCGCGGUAAUACGUAGGGUGCAAGCGUUAAUCGGAAUUACUGGGCGUAAAGCGUGCGCAGGCGGCUUUGCAAGACAGAUGUGAAAUCCCCGGGCUCAACCUGGGAACUGCAUUUGUGACUGCAUGGCUAGAGUACGGUAGAGGGGGAUGGAAUUCCGCGUGUAGCAGUGAAAUGCGUAGAUAUGCGGAGGAACACCGAUGGCGAAGGCAAUCCCCUGGACCUGUACUGACGCUCAUGCACGAAGACGUGGGAGGACAACAGAGUAGUAUACCUACGUAGUACGACGACCGUAACCGACUAGUCACUGGUUGUUGGUACGGUCGUUGUCGU